CGGGACAUCGUGGGUGAGCGGGGGGUAGAUACUGGGGGGGGAAGCGUGAUUGUGUGUAGCGGGGGUUAAAGGUUGCGGAGGCGGGGCUGUGAGUCGGGGGGGAAAGCUCCGAGCUUGAGGCGGAAACGGCCGUGGGUACUGCGUAUCUUGAAUGUUGUGGAGGUGAGCGGAAUAUGUCAUGUAGCGGUGAAAUGCUUAGAUAUGACAUAGAACACCAAUUGCGAAGGCAGCUCACUACACAAAUAUUGACGCUGAUGCACGAAAGCGUGGGGAUCAAACAGGAUUAGAUACCCUAGUAGUC
Molecule: ribosomal RNA, 301 nt
Filed under: uncultured Sulfuricurvum sp.
Lineage: Bacteria; Pseudomonadati; Campylobacterota; Epsilonproteobacteria; Campylobacterales; Sulfurimonadaceae
Description: partial 16S ribosomal RNA
Rfam family: Bacterial small subunit ribosomal RNA (bases 62-301)
Source: RNAcentral